AAUAGAUACCCGGGUAGUCCACGCCGUAAACGAUGGAUACUAGCUGUUGGAGGUAUCGACCCCUCCAGUAGCGAAGCUAACGCGUUAAGUAUCCCGCCUGUGGAGUACGGUCGCAAGACUAAAACAUAAAGGAAUUGACGGGGACCCGCACAAGCGGUGGAUUGUGUUCUUUAAUUCGAUGAUAAACGAAGAACCUUACCAGGGUUUGACAUCCCAAGAAUUAUGCCGAAAGGCGUGAGUGCUUUAUUGAACUUGGUGACAGGUGAUGCAUGGCCGUCGUCAGCUCGUGUCGUGAGAUGUUUGGUUAAGUCCAUCAACGAGCGCAACCCUUGUGAAUAGUUGAAUUUUUCUAUUCAGACUGCCCCGGCAACGGGGAGGAAGGAGGGGAUGAUGUCAGGUCAGUAUUUCCCUUACAUCCUGGGCUAGAAACGCAAUACAAUGGUUAGUACAAUGCGCAGCGAAGCCGCGAGGUGAAGCAAAUCGCAUCAAAGCUAAUCCCAGUUCGGAUAAGAGGCUGAAACUGCCUCUUGAAGUCGG
RNAcentral lists this ribosomal RNA (537 nucleotides) under uncultured bacterium. Its description in RNAcentral is "bacterial SSU rRNA". It matches the Rfam family "Bacterial small subunit ribosomal RNA", at positions 777 to 1329 of the family's 1533-position model. The record is from RNAcentral.